AGAGAAUUUCAGAAGAGAGUGAGGGUGCAGGAGUAUUGAAAUUGAAAGUGUUAAAUAAGUGUUGUGUGUUAGAGUAUUGAACUCCAGUCUUUUUUUAGUGCUAAAAGGUCGUGCCCUUUAUAGUUCAUAAAGCAAGUACGAAAAAGUUAAGAAAAUAGGCGUGAAAUUAAUUGCAUAUUGUUUUCCUUUACUUCUGAUUUCAAACUGGCAGAAUAAUUAAGGAAGAAUUUGCUCAAAAUUUCUUUUAAAGUAGUACAAGAAGGGCAAAUAACAGAAGCUGUUUAAGGAAAGAGUUUGAUAGUAACACGAUUUGUUCAAAUAAAGGAAGUCAAUCAAUCAACAGCCAUAAUAAAUCAUAAAUUGAGUAGGUAUGAACGAAUCCAACCGGAAAAGUUUAAGAAAGGUUUAAUUAAAGGAAAUCAGUAACAAUCAAUCGAACCUUAUUAAAAGGAAUUUUGAAUCAAUCACAAGUUGAAUUCGUCAUAUAUAAAGUGUAAAAACAUGUGAAUCAAGAGAUAACUAUUGUGCUAAUUAGAAAAGAGUCUAGAAUGGGAAGUUCAGAGUCAUAACAAAGAGGUUCAAGUCAGUUCAUAGACUCAUAAUGAGUUUGACAAAUUCAGGUUUCCACAAUGGAACUCCGGUCCACACACAAGAUCAAAAUCGCCAAAAGAAAACCCCAAACACUAGGGUUUCCAUCUCGAGUAGGAUACAGAGACGAGAAGCCAAGCCAUUUAAACAGGC
This 741-nucleotide long non-coding RNA is filed under the name Nicotiana benthamiana. RNAcentral's name for it is "long non-coding RNA (NBEN_LNC008634)". The record is from RNAcentral. Lineage: Eukaryota; Viridiplantae; Streptophyta; Magnoliopsida; Solanales; Solanaceae.